RNAcentral lists this ribosomal RNA (158 nucleotides) under Russula velenovskyi. RNAcentral describes it as "5.8S ribosomal RNA". It matches the Rfam family "5.8S ribosomal RNA". From Rfam's summary of the family: 5.8S ribosomal RNA (5.8S rRNA) is a component of the large subunit of the eukaryotic ribosome. It is transcribed by RNA polymerase I as part of the 45S precursor that also contains 18S and 28S rRNA. Lineage: Eukaryota; Fungi; Basidiomycota; Agaricomycetes; Russulales; Russulaceae. The record is from RNAcentral.
CAACUUUCAACAACGGAUCUCUUGGCUCUCGCAUCGAUGAAGAACGCAGCGAAAUGCGAUACGUAAUGUGAAUUGCAGAAUUCAGUGAAUCAUCGAAUCUUUGAACGCACCUUGCGCCCCUUGGCAUUCUGAGGGGCACACCCGUUUGAGUGUCGUGA